GGGGGGAGCGCCAGAUCUGGGGCUGUGUCCCCAGCACCCUGUGCUCUCUGCGCUGUUGGAAUCACUCUCCUGGCUGCGCAACCCCCU
RNAcentral lists this microRNA precursor (87 nucleotides) under Canis lupus familiaris (dog). RNAcentral's name for it is "mir-8799 microRNA precursor family". It matches the Rfam family "mir-8799 microRNA precursor family". Lineage: Eukaryota; Metazoa; Chordata; Mammalia; Carnivora; Canidae. The record is from Rfam by way of RNAcentral. RNAcentral also lists the same sequence under 1 other name.